RNAcentral lists this long non-coding RNA (1242 nucleotides) under Olea europaea subsp. europaea. The record is from RNAcentral. Lineage: Eukaryota; Viridiplantae; Streptophyta; Magnoliopsida; Lamiales; Oleaceae.
GUCUGUGCGGAGACCUCCCUGCAACACCCUCGCUGGCGAUUUCGAAUUGAACAAAAUCACCUAUUGAAAAUUGGUUUCUCCUUUCGAUGAUGUGUUCCACGUUUAACCUAUUCGAAUUCUGUUUUUCCUUCUUCCACUGGUGGAUUGAUAUCUGAGUGAAUUUCUUUUUGACGACCACUAAUCCAGAGAAAAACUAACAGUGGUUGCUUCAUUUUCUUCCUUCAGAAGCUAUUAAAUUAAGAGAUUAUCACUCAACAGAAGGCGAGAUGUCUCCGACCCUCUGUGCAGCGUGGAGACCAUGACGCACCUCCGCGCCUCCGCGCGGCGCGGAGGCCACCUCCUUGCUAUACCCUCACUGGCGAUUUUGAAUUGAACAAAAUCACCUAUUGAAAAUUGGUUUCUCCUUUCGAUUGUGUGUUCCACAUUUAACCUAUUCGAAUUCUGUUUCUCUUUCCUCCACUAGUAGAUCGGCGAUUUAAUAUCUAAGUGAAUUUCUUUUUGACGACCAAUAAUCCAGAGAAAAGCUAACAGUGGCUGCUUCAUUUUCUUCCUUCAAAAGCUAUUUAAUUAAGAGAUUAUCACACAACAGAAGGCGAGAUGCAUAGACUGAAAACUUACUCAGAUUUUAUUUGAGGCAUCCUUAAAUUAAAGGUAAUUUUUUUCCUUUGAAUUUAUGUUUCUUCAAAUUGAGCAUAAAUCUUGGUUUCAUGAUGGCUUCAAUGAGGUUUUUUAUGAUGAUUUUGCAUAUUUACAGAAUCUUAUCAUUCUAUCAAAAUUAUUGGCUAAAUUUAAAAGCAACAUAAAUGGUACAUAUUCUAAGGUUUGAAUGUUUUUGAAUCCGUAAUUUAUUGAUUAAAUCACUUUUAAAAUUCCAAUUGUGUUUGGUCGGCAAAAAAUCAUUCAAUUAUGUAACGCGAUAUUCGUAAAAUUAUUUUUAUUCACAAUGAUUUGUAACAGUUUUUAAUUAAAUUUUUGCAGAGUCGAAAGGGUGUGGAAGGUUUUCUCUUUGCCGUGAAAAUGUAGCUUUUUCUUAGGAAUUUUUGUGAAGCUUGAUUUCCUUCUUUGAUUGAGUUUUUAGGAUAUUCUAUGGAUUUAAUAAAUUUUCGUUUUCAGUAUGAUGUUGCAGCAAAUCAAUCAUUUUGUUGAACAAAUUCUAAUAACCGCUGCCCAUACCUUCUACCAAUCCAACGUUGACACAAGCCAAUAGGCAAUCUAUACACCGAGCCUAGGAAUUUACAUGCA